UAAACUAGGAUUAGAUACCCUAUUAUUUUAAUCGUAAAGAAAUGUCUUGGGUARUAGUAGUUAUAAUCUUUAAACCURGAGGAUUUGGCGGUGUUUUAUUCUAUUUAGAGGAAUUUGCCCUAUAAUCGAUAAUCCGCGUUUUAUCUAACUUUUAUUUGUAUUCAGUUUGUAUACCGCCGUUAUAAGUUUAUUUUUUUAGAAUAUUUACUUAACAAUUUUAUUUAAUAUUUCAGGUCAAGGUGCAGCUUAUAUAAGAGAUUGAGGUGAAUUACAAUAUUAUAUAAUAUAUGGAUAUAUGCUUUAAAAUUUUAUUGAAGGUGGAUUUAAUAGUAAUUUUAUUAAUAAUAUUAACUUGAUUUUUGUUCUAAGACAAGUACACAUCG
This 383-nucleotide ribosomal RNA is filed under the name Ocnophiloidea regularis (Trinidad miniature stick insect). RNAcentral's name for it is "partial 12S ribosomal RNA". Lineage: Eukaryota; Metazoa; Arthropoda; Insecta; Phasmatodea; Diapheromeridae. The record is from RNAcentral.